This is a long non-coding RNA of Cyanistes caeruleus (blue tit), 1454 nucleotides long. The record is from Ensembl. Lineage: Eukaryota; Metazoa; Chordata; Aves; Passeriformes; Paridae.
UGGCUAAAUAGUAGUAAAUGGGAUAUUUCUCCCCUCCAGUUUGUUUUGUUGUGGGGGUUUUUUGUGCCCCCAUUCCACUUCUCUUGCAGAAAGGAGCUGGGAGGUGAUGCAAGCACAACUAGUACAUGUUUUCCUGGGAUGCAGAAGGCAACACUGAUGACUGUGAGCGCUGCCCUUGCACUGGAGGUGAACAAGGUCGGGGCUCCUCUACCCUGAAGACUGGGGCUGAUCAUGCUGAGAUUUGGGCAGCACCUCAUCAAGCCCUCCGUGGUGUUCCUGAGGACGGAGCUGUGCUUUGCCCUGGUGAACCGCAGGCCGGUGGUGCCAGGACGUAUCCUUUCCACAGCCGAUCCUGGGAAAAGCAGGACACGCUCAGGGAGCUUGGAAGGCCAGCAAUUAUGAUGGAGGAGAACACUGUUCUGUCCCUGACACUGUUGUCGUAAAUACUGUCACGAUGAUAUCAACGUGAAUGUCGCUAUCAAAGGAGGCACCGAGAUUUGUCUUGGUGGAGAGGAUGUAACUUACACCCAUUCUGCCUGAGACAAUGAUGGAUUGCUAUGGAAUGUUCAAAUAGAAAGAAAGCUUUUAUCAAGUCAUGAAAAGCAAUGUGCUGGAGAUUAAUAAGACACAAUGGGGAGGGAGAACAGGCAUCAGCAGAAACCUUGACUGUCAGAAAGUUCCUGAGAGUAAGAAGUGCAAUUAACGUAUUUCUAGCCUGUUAUGCCUUGUAUUUUUAAAAUUUAGCAGUUAAAACCAACACUGCAUUAUAGGACAAGAGUUCUAUGCUUGUGGAAAAGUGCUAUGAGAUGAUUAAUAACCAUUAUUGAAAUUCCUAAGAGUGUUUGACAUCUGGGAAAUUAAGGCCUGAGGGACUUCAUCGCUGAGCUUUGCAAUUCUAAGAAGUACGCAGCAUUUUUUACUUGUCUUAUUGAUGGUAACAAAUUAGACUUAAUCCUGAUUUAUCUACUUUUCCUGAAAAAUCAAGACUUAACUGAGUUUUUAAUAAGAUGCACGUAUUACUAAUGAAACUUGAUCUACUUAAUUUAACAUGGAGAAGAAAACCAGACUUUUCUCUGGUAGGCUUUAGCAUUCAAUAAGGCUAAUGGUAGAUGCCAGUUUUUGGGAGGAAGCAAGUAAUGUUUAUUCAAGCCACUUGAUUUUCCUGCAGUUUAUGGGAUAUGAUAAUUGCUGCAAUUUUAAGAUCAAAAAGCCAUUUCUAUUCAUUUGAACACUAAUGUCUUUAGGGGCUUGGGACUUUCUAUUAAUCCAAAAUGUACAAAGGCUGAAAAAAAAAUAUAUCCCAGAUUUUAGUAAUGAGUAAUGAGUUUGAAGGAGUGCAUGAAAUAUGAUGGUUCUCUGUGUGAAAUGAAUAUCAUGGAGAGUUGUAUCAGUAGGGGUGAAUUAGCCAAUGAAUUGCCAAUAUUGGAAUAAAGAAAUCUAUCUGCUGUGCCUCA